UUCCUCUUGCUUAUCUCUUUUCCCUCUUUCUGGAGCUUACACCCAAGUUCCCAAUCCUCAAGCUCCCUCUACCCCAACUCAAGCCUUCCUAGCUCACCGGCAUCAACUGCCAUCGGCCAGAAUUCCGUCUUCCUCUCCCCCCCACCCCCUGCCUCCCAUUCCCUCACGCCUGGCUUCCUCUAGGGAAAGGAGAAAUGGAAGUGUUAUCCCAGAUCUGCAAGUGAAAUUUCAGGGAAGUAGACAGUGUCCAUCAGUCAGUCAGGGGACUGAAGUCAUGGCCACUCCGCUCAAUUUGAAGCCUCACGCCUUUCUGUCAAAUCAGAUGUAAUGGUCCCAGGGGCAGUAACUAGCUUAGGGUUGGACCGAACUUCGACCUGUGCACCCCUCUAAGGAAGCUUUUGUUAGUUUCCAGACUCUUCUUAGGCUCCUGAGGGGUUUUCUGUCUUGGCAGGAGCCCUCAUCAGUAGCUUCCUUUAACGAUGUGCAUACGUUUGCCUCCUGCUGAAGGGAUGAGAAGACUAAGGUACAGAGCUGAAGUGACCUGCCAAAGGCCACAAAUCUUCUUGAACCCAUGAAGUGGAGCAAAAUAAGCUUGAAAGGAGAGAAAUCUAUUCUCUCCCAGAUCCGAAGGACAGAAGUCUGAAAAUGAGAUGUCUGCAGAGCCCUGCCACCUCCGAAGCCUCUAGGGGAGAAUCCUCCUCGCCUCUUCCAGCUUCAGUCCGUUAGCGGCAUCUCUAGGCUUACGGCUGCUGUACUCCAGUCUGCCUCUGUCUCUAGGUGGCCUUCCCCUCUUCUCCCUGUGUGUCACCCUGUGUGUGUGUCUUUUAUAAAGACAGUGGUCCUUGCAUUUAGGGCUUACUUAUAAUCCAACAUGAUCUCAUCUGCAGAGCUCCAUUUUCCAAAUAAAGUCACAUCCACAGUCUCCAGGGCUUAGGAUGUGACCAAAUCUUUUUUUUUUGGGGGGGAGGGUGGUGCCUACCAUUCAACCAAGG
This is a long non-coding RNA of Mustela erminea (ermine), 992 nucleotides long. RefSeq lists it as uncharacterized. The transcript has 4 exons. The record is from RefSeq and is a predicted model, not a curated record. NCBI's taxonomy places the organism in Eukaryota, Metazoa, Chordata, Mammalia, Carnivora, Mustelidae.